Molecule: long non-coding RNA, 1427 nt
Organism: Astatotilapia calliptera (eastern happy)
Lineage: Eukaryota; Metazoa; Chordata; Actinopteri; Cichliformes; Cichlidae
Source: Ensembl
UUUUGAAUAGAAGUCAAAGGAGCUUGCAAAGAAAAGCGUCUGGACUUCUUUAAGUUGUUUGAAGACGUUUCACCUCUCAUCCGAGAAGCUUCUUCAGUUCUGAAUAGAAGCGUGCUGAUCCACACAGGUGUGCACACGGGUGUUCACAGACACAAACUACACCUUUCUUGGGUGCUACCUCAAAGCACAUUGUGCGCUGUCGAUCUUGUGUACUGCACAAUAACAUUUAGUAUUUAGUAUCUACUGUUAUCUACUGUUAGCUAGUUUAUUGUGAUGGUGUUGUAUUUAUUAUGUUACUCUUUUUGGUUUGUUUUCUCUUCUGUUUUUUCUUAUACAGUUGAUCCAGGUGUUGUAUUUGUUUUUUCUUUUUUUUCUUCCCCCCUUUCUCACCGUCUCUUCUCCCCUCUAUUUUUCUUUCUCUCCCUCUCUUUCUUUCAUUCUUUCUCCCUGUCCUAUCCCCCAGUCAUGUCUGUCCCGUCUGUAACAACCGAAAAUCAAAGCAAAUAAAUAGAUAAUUAUAAUUAAAUACAUAAUUAAAUGGACCAAUAUGGCAAGGCCAUGAUGAUCCAAUUGGUAAAGUAAAUUCGCUUGGCAUCUUUCUUGGCCUUCAGACAACAAUUCUGAUGGCUAAAGAUCCAAAAGGGACAGGCAAAUCAAAUAAAUAAAUAAAAAUAAAAACAAAAAAAUGCCCAAAAAAAAGAAAAAAAGAGAGAAAAGAAAACUAACUCUUACAGACACAUCACACAUGUGUGACUGGAUAAUUAGAUUCAAAAACAACAUUGGUUUUGUUAUUGGGUCUCUAGAAGGCAAAAGGAAAGACAAGCAAACUGCCAUUUAUCAAUAACAUCAAGAUCCAAAGAGGGAUAAAAAAAAAUCUAUUAAAUAUUCUAAAACCAUCAUUUAAAAUGAGUUCAUAUCAAUUGUUAAUACUUUCUUUCAUCCAUUUGGUGAUGAUGUGCAGUGUUAAAAGAAUGAAAAACAGCUUUAUGAUUUAUUCAAAUAAUAAAUCAAACAAUGAUCCACAUAAACAGGCUCUUGUGGAAAAUUUCAAAAUUACUUUAAAUAGGAGUUCAGCAUUCAAUGCUGUAAAGUAAAUAUCCAGAAACCCUCUCUUCUCUUCUCUAAUAAAUCAUGGUGUCCUCCACUAGGUGGUGCUGAGGACAAAAAUUGUGAGGACACUGAGCUUGUUCUCACUCCCGAGGCGGAACAUCCCAACGUUUUUGUUGCGACACUAUAUCACGUUUCAUGUCAUUAAAGUGGGCUAAAACACUGUAAUUCAACACAAAUAAUGAUAAGCAAUACACUGUGUGGAGGUCAAAUUAUAAACAUGUAUAUACAUUAUAAGCUCAGAGAUUUGUGCUGACUUCUUUUUUUUUAUAAUAAGAUAGUAAUUAAAUGUGUAUUAAAAUGACAACCCUGCUUUAAAU